GGGGGCGUAGUUCAGUUUGGUUAGAACGUCGGCCUGUCACGUCGAAGGUCACGGGUUCGAACCCCGUCGUCCCCG
This 75-nucleotide transfer RNA is filed under the name Desulfobacterales bacterium. Its description in RNAcentral is "tRNA-Asp". It matches the Rfam family "tRNA". From Rfam's summary of the family: Transfer RNA (tRNA) molecules are approximately 80 nucleotides in length. Their secondary structure includes four short double-helical elements and three loops (D, anti-codon, and T loops). Lineage: Bacteria; Pseudomonadati; Thermodesulfobacteriota; Desulfobacteria; Desulfobacterales. The record is from RNAcentral.